AACGAACGCUGGCGGCAUGCCUAACACAUGCAAGUCGAACGAGAUCUUCGGGUCUAGUGGCGCACGGGUGCGUAACGCGUGGGAAUCUGCCCUUUGGUUCGGAAUAACAGUUGGAAACGACUGCUAAUACCGGAUGAUGACGAAAGUCCAAAGAUUUAUCGCCAGAGGAUGAGCCCGCGUAGGAUUAGCUAGUUGGUGUGGUAAAGGCGCACCAAGGCGACGAUCCUUAGCUGGUCUGAGAGGAUGAUCAGCCACACUGGGACUGAGACACGGCCCAGACUCCUACGGGAGGCAGCAGUGGGGAAUAUUGGACAAUGGGCGAAAGCCUGAUCCAGCAAUGCCGCGUGAGUGAAGAAGGCCUUAGGGUUGUAAAGCUCUUUUACCCGGGAUGAUAAUGACGGUACCGGGAGAAUAAGCUCCGGCUAACUCCGUGCCAGCAGCCGCCGUAA
RNAcentral lists this ribosomal RNA (449 nucleotides) under uncultured bacterium. Its description in RNAcentral is "partial 16S ribosomal RNA". It matches the Rfam family "Bacterial small subunit ribosomal RNA", at positions 29 to 523 of the family's 1533-position model. The record is from RNAcentral.